RNAcentral lists this ribosomal RNA (847 nucleotides) under Enterococcus devriesei. RNAcentral describes it as "bacterial SSU rRNA". It matches the Rfam family "Bacterial small subunit ribosomal RNA", at positions 99 to 932 of the family's 1533-position model. Lineage: Bacteria; Bacillati; Bacillota; Bacilli; Lactobacillales; Enterococcaceae. The record is from RNAcentral.
CGAACGGGUGAGUAACACGUGGGUAACCUGCCCAUCAGAAGGGGAUAACACUUGGAAACAGGUGCUAAUACCGUAUAACAAGUAAAACCGCAUGGUUUUACUUUGAAAGGCGCUUUUGCGUCACUGAUGGAUGGACCCGCGGUGCAUUAGCUAGUUGGUGAGGUAACGGCUCACCAAGGCAACGAUGCAUAGCCGACCUGAGAGGGUGAUCGGCCACAUUGGGACUGAGACACGGCCCAAACUCCUACGGGAGGCAGCAGUAGGGAAUCUUCGGCAAUGGACGAAAGUCUGACCGAGCAACGCCGCGUGAGUGAAGAAGGUUUUCGGAUCGUAAAACUCUGUUGUUAGAGAAGAACAAGGAUGAGAGUAAAAAGUUCAUCCCUUGACGGUAUCUAACCAGAAAGCCACGGCUAACUACGUGCCAGCAGCCGCGGUAAUACGUAGGUGGCAAGCGUUGUCCGGAUUUAUUGGGCGUAAAGCGAGCGCAGGCGGUUUCUUAAGUCUGAUGUGAAAGCCCCCGGCUCAACCGGGGAGGGUCAUUGGAAACUGGGAAACUUGAGUGCAGAAGAGGAGAGUGGAAUUCCAUGUGUAGCGGUGAAAUGCGUAGAUAUAUGGAGGAACACCAGUGGCGAAGGCGGCUCUCUGGUCUGUAACUGACGCUGAGGCUCGAAAGCGUGGGGAGCAAACAGGAUUAGAUACCCUGGUAGUCCACGCCGUAAACGAUGAGUGCUAAGUGUUGGAGGGUUUCCGCCCUUCAGUGCUGCAGCUAACGCAUUAAGCACUCCGCCUGGGGAGUACGACCGCAAGGUUGAAACUCAAAGGAAUUGACGGGGGCCCGCACAAGCGG